UGGGGAAUCUUGGACAAUGGGCGCAAGCCUGAUCCAGCCAUGCCGCGUGAGUGAAGAAGGCCUUCGGGUUGUAAAGCUCUUUUACCAGGGACGAUAAUGACGGUACCUGGAGAAUAAGCCCCGGCAAACUUCGUGCCAGCAGCCGCGGUAAUACGAAGGGGGCUAGCGUUGUUCGGAAUUACUGGGCGUAAAGCGCACGUAGGCGGAUUGUUAAGUCAGAGGUGAAAUCCCGGAGCUCAACUUCGGAACUGCCUUUGAUACUGGCAAUCUAGAGUCCGGAAGAGGUUAGUGGAAUUCCCAGUGUAGAGGUGAAAUUCGUAGAUAUUGGGAAGAACACCAGUGGCGAAGGCGGCUAACUGGUCCGGUACUGACGCUGAGGUGCGAAAGCGUGGGGAGCAAACGAGGAUUAGAUACCCUCGUAGUCCCUGAGCGGGCUGGCAAGGCGCAU
RNAcentral lists this ribosomal RNA (448 nucleotides) under uncultured bacterium. RNAcentral's name for it is "bacterial SSU rRNA". It matches the Rfam family "Bacterial small subunit ribosomal RNA", at positions 355 to 825 of the family's 1533-position model. The record is from RNAcentral.